UNUGCUGGAACUUAACUGACGCUAAUGCGUGAAAGCGUGGGGAGCAANCAGGAUUAGAUACCCUGGUAGUCCACGCCNUAAACGAUGUAUACCGGUUGUUGCUGUGCUAGUCACGGCAGUAAUCCACCUAACGGAUUAAGUAUACCGCCUGGGGAGUACGGUCGCAAGAUUAAAACUCAAAGGAAUAGACGGGGACCCGCACAAGCGGUGGAGCAUGUGGUUUAAUUCGAAGAUACGCGAAGAACCUUACCCGGACUUGAUAUCUAACAAAUCAUCCAGAGAUGGAAGAGUGUCUGCUUGCAGAAAUGUUAAGACAGGUGCUGCACGGCUGUCGUCAGCUCGUGUCGUGAGAUGUUGGGUUAAGUCCCGCAACGAGCGCAACCCACGUCAUUAGUUGCUAACGGUUCGGCCGAGCACUCUAAUGAGACUGCCUUCGUAAGGAGGAGGAAGGUGUGGACGACGUCAAGUCAUCAUGGCCCUUAUGUCCGGGGCGACACACGUGCUACAAUGGCAUAUACAAUAAGACGCAAUAUCGUAAGAUGGAGCAAAUCUAAAAAAUAUGUCCCAGUUCGGAUUGGAGUCUGCAACUCGACUCCAUGAAGCCGGAAUCGCUAGUAAUCGUAGAUCAGCCAUGCUACGGUGAAUACGUUCCCGGGUCUUGUACUCACCGCCCGUCACACCNUGGGAGUUGAUUUCACUCGAAGC
Molecule: ribosomal RNA, 705 nt
Filed under: uncultured bacterium
Lineage: Bacteria
Description: bacterial SSU rRNA
Rfam family: Bacterial small subunit ribosomal RNA
Source: RNAcentral